ACCUGGAGAGCAGUGGGGUGAGGUUCUGAAUGUGCACCUGGAGAGCAGUGGGGUGAGGUUCUGAAUGUGCACCUGGAGAGCAGUGGGGUGAGGUGAGCGCACUCUGCUUUGGUUUCUUUUACAGAAACAUUUGAGCUUAAAUACUUUACCUGAGAGCGCAGCAGCAGUCCCCUGUCCCCCCACCCAUUAUCUGGCUCUAUGAGUGUAUUCAGCUGUAACUGACCCCCUCUAACUGCCCCUCACUGUGCCUGAGUGUGUAACUGACCCCCUCUAACUGCCCCUCACUGUGCCUGAGUGUGUAACUGACCCCCUCUAACUGCCCCUCACUGUGCCUGAGUGUGUAACUGACCCCCUCUAACUGCCCCUCACUGUGCCUGAGUGUGUAACUGACCCCCUCUAACUGCCCCUCACUGUGCCUGAGUGUGUAACUGACCCCCUCUAACUGCCCCUCACUGUGCCUGAGUGUAUUUGGCAGUGACAGACUCCCUCUGGCCGCCCCUCACCAUGUCCAGCUUGCCCUUGUGCUCCACCAGGCUGGACGUGGCGUAGGCUGUCAUCACGCACGCGGCCAGGGACAGGUAGGUGUUGACCACAGCGGUGAACUGGUCCUCUUUACUCCCCGCGAUGCCCGAGUUGAAACUGGGCCAGAACAUCCAGAGGAACACGGUUCCUGAGAAACCAAGCACAGCACACCAUUACUGAACACGCCAUCACUCAACACAUCGGCACUCAACACGCCACCACUCAACACAUCUGCACUCAACAUGCUGUCACUCAACACGCUAUAACUCAACAUGCCGUCACUCAACACGCCGUCACUCAACACAUCGGCACUCAACACGCUGUCACUCAACACGCC
Molecule: long non-coding RNA, 859 nt
Organism: Anguilla anguilla (European eel)
Lineage: Eukaryota; Metazoa; Chordata; Actinopteri; Anguilliformes; Anguillidae
Exons: 2
Source: RefSeq, a predicted model, not a curated record